RNAcentral lists this ribosomal RNA (705 nucleotides) under uncultured organism. RNAcentral describes it as "bacterial SSU rRNA". It matches the Rfam family "Bacterial small subunit ribosomal RNA", at positions 79 to 787 of the family's 1533-position model. The record is from RNAcentral.
CUUGCUCCCCGGGGACAGUGGCGAACGGGUGAGUAACACGUGAGUAAUCUGCCCUCGAGCGGGGGAUAGGUCCGGGAAAGCGGAGCUAAUACCGCAUGAAACUUUGGAGCAUAAGCUUUCAAAGUCAAAGCUUUCGGGUGCUUGAGGAUGAGCUCGCGGCCUAUUAGCUUGUUGGUAGGGUAACGGCCUACCAAUGCAACGAUGGGUAGCCGGCCUGAGAGGGUGUUCGGUCACACUGGGACUGCGACACGGGCCAGACUGGUGCGGGAGGCAGCAGUGGGGAAUUUUGCGCGAUGGGCGAAAGCCUGACGCAGCGACGCCGCGUGGAGGAUGAAGGUUUUCGGAUUGUAAACUCCUGUCAGAGGUGAAGAAAGCCCUUAUGGGUCUGACGGUAACCUCAGAGGAAGCCCCGGCUAACUACGUGCCAGCAGCCGCGGUAAUACGUAGGGGGCAAACGUUGCUCGGAAUUACUGGGCGUAAAGGGUGCGCAGGUGGCUGAGAAAGUCGUUGAUGAAAUCCCGGGGCUUACCCCCGGAACUGUCUUCGAUACUUCUCAGCUUGAGGAUAGUCGAGGAGAACGGAAUUCCCGGUGGAGCGGUGAAAUGCGUAGAUAUCGGGAGGAACACCAGAGGCGAAGGCGGUUCUCUAGGCUGAUCCUGACACUUGAGGCACGAAAGCUAAGGGAGCGAACGGGAUUAGAUAACC